GAUUCAUGGAGGCGUGAAGGAUCCCAGCAAGAAAACACAGACUUGAUCUUGAGACGAGAUUUUUGAAAUUGGUUGCGGCCUCAAGGCAGGCUCUGAGAAGACUCGAUAAAGAGUUCUCAGGAAUAGGCAUCCCUCCUGGAUAUUUCCCCCUUGGAAGCGCCGAGGAGCCAGCUCUAUGUUUGUAACCAUAGCAUUUCUAAAGCUCCAGCCCCAGGAACCUGCUGUGAAUUAGAGACAGAUUCCACCCUAGGCAUCACUGAUCUUGGCCUCUCUUGUAUUGGGAAGGUCAACACUGUUCCAGUUUCUCUCCUACUCCCAUCUGGUUGUGCUCGGUGAAGUAGGUGAGCAGUGCUACCCUUCUGUUAAAAAAAAAAAAAAAAAAAAGAUCCUGAAAGAGGAAAGAAUUUUUGCUACACAUCUGAAAGCUAAAGUCCAGGUGAUGCCUUGAUUACCUAGCUUUGGCUUCUCUGAACUCUGCUUCUCUGAUAGAGGAAACCUGAAGAGAACUAGCAUUUCUGAAACCAUGGCCCGGGUGAUCCGCCUGCCUCACCCUCCGAAAGUGCUGGGAUUACAGGGGUGAGCCAUCGCACCUGGCCUCUGCUGGGAUUUUGACUGAGAUUUUGUUGAAUCU
RNAcentral lists this long non-coding RNA (631 nucleotides) under Homo sapiens (human). RNAcentral describes it as "non-protein coding lnc-ZNF404-1:10". Lineage: Eukaryota; Metazoa; Chordata; Mammalia; Primates; Hominidae. The record is from RNAcentral.